RNAcentral lists this ribosomal RNA (925 nucleotides) under uncultured fungus. RNAcentral describes it as "eukaryotic LSU rRNA". The stretch from base 597 to 925 matches the Rfam family "Eukaryotic large subunit ribosomal RNA", at positions 1 to 321 of the family's 3401-position model. Lineage: Eukaryota; Fungi. The record is from RNAcentral.
GGAAGGAUCAUUACUGAUUUGUUGACACGAGCUGUUGCUGGUCCUCAAACAUGGGGGCAUGUGCACGCUCUGUUCACACAUCCACUCACACCUGUGCACCCUCCGUAGUUCUAUGGUCUGGGGGACACCCUGUCUUCCUCCUGUAGUUCUAUGUCUUUACACGUACACCGUAGCGAAGUCUUAUGGAAUGUGCACCGCGUUUAACGCAAUACAAUACAACUUUCAGCAACGGAUCUCUUGGCUCUCGCAUCGAUGAAGAACGCAGCGAAAUGCGAUAAGUAAUGUGAAUUGCAGAAUUCAGUGAAUCAUCGAAUCUUUGAACGCACCUUGCGCCCCUUGGCUAUUCCGAGGGGCAUGCCUGUUUGAGUAUCAUGAACACCUCAACUCUCAUGGUUUGCCAUGAUGAGCUUGGAUUUUGGAGGUUUUGCUGGCCUGUGGUCAGCUCCUCUCAAAUGGAUCAGCCUACCAGUAUUUGGUGGCGUCACAGGUGUGAUAACUAUCUACGCUUGUGGUUGUCUGCUGAGUAACCUUUGGUGACAGAGGUUCACUGGAGCUUAUAAAUGUCUUUCCUCAGUGAAGACAGCUUUUUGACCGUUCGAUCUCAAAUCAGGUAGGACUACCCGCUGAACUUAAGCAUAUCAAUAAGCGGAGGAAAAGAAACUAACAAGGAUUCCCCUAGUAACUGCGAGUGAAGCGGGAAGAGCUCAAAUUUAAAAUCUGGCAUGCCUCUGGCUGUCCGAGUUGUAGUCUGGGAGAAGUGUUUUCCGUGUUGGACCGUGUAUAAGUCUCUUGGAACAGGGCGUCAUAGAGGGUGAGAAUCCCGUCUUUGACACGGACUACCAAUGCUUUGUGAUGCGCUCUCAAAGAGUCGAGUUGUUUGGGAAUGCAGCUCAAAAUGGGUGGUAAAUUCCAUCUAAAGCUAAAU